This 918-nucleotide ribosomal RNA is filed under the name Aspergillus oryzae. Its description in RNAcentral is "eukaryotic LSU rRNA". It matches the Rfam family "Eukaryotic large subunit ribosomal RNA", at positions 36 to 969 of the family's 3401-position model. Lineage: Eukaryota; Fungi; Ascomycota; Eurotiomycetes; Eurotiales; Aspergillaceae. The record is from RNAcentral.
UAGCAUAUCAAUAAGCGGAGGAAAAGAAACCAACCGGGAUUGCCUCAGUAACGGCGAGUGAAGCGGCAAGAGCUCAAAUUUGAAAGCUGGCUCCUUCGGGGUCCGCAUUGUAAUUUGCAGAGGAUGCUUCGGGUGCGGCCCCUGUCUAAGUGCCCUGGAACGGGCCGUCAGAGAGGGUGAGAAUCCCGUCUGGGAUGGGGUGUCCGCGCCCGUGUGAAGCUCCUUCGACGAGUCGAGUUGUUUGGGAAUGCAGCUCUAAAUGGGUGGUAAAUUUCAUCUAAAGCUAAAUACUGGCCGGAGACCGAUAGCGCACAAGUAGAGUGAUCGAAAGAUGAAAAGCACUUUGAAAAGAGAGUUAAAAAGCACGUGAAAUUGUUGAAAGGGAAGCGCUUGCGACCAGACUCGCCUCCAGGGUUCAGCCGGCAUUCGUGCCGGUGUACUUCCCUGGGGGCGGGCCAGCGUCGGUUUGGGCGGCCGGUCAAAGGCUCCCGGAAUGUAGUGCCCUCCGGGGCACCUUAUAGCCGGGAGUGCAAUGCGGCCAGCCUGGACCGAGGAACGCGCUUCGGCACGGACGCUGGCAUAAUGGUCGUAAACGACCCGUCUUGAAACACGGACCAAGGAGUCUAACAUCUACGCGAGUGUUCGGGUGUCAAACCCGUACGCGCAGUGAAAGCGAACGGAGGUGGGAGCCCCCUCGUGGGGCGCACCAUCGACCGAUCCUGAUGUCUUCGGAUGGAUUUGAGUAAGAGCGUAAAUGUGGGGACCCGAAAGAUGGUGAACUAUGCCUGAAUAGGGCGAAGCCAGAGGAAACUCUGGUGGAGGCUCGCAGCGGUUCUGACGUGCAAAUCGAUCGUCAAAUUUGGGUAUAGGGGCGAAAGACUAAUCGAACCAUCUAGUAGCUGGUUCCUGCCGAAGUUC